UUCCCUUCAGAGAAGGCUGUGUCCCUGCUACUCUUCGCUUCCUCCCUCAAUAAACCUCUCUGGAUUAAGCACGCAAGAAGCCGUCCUGCUCUUCAUUCAGUGGUCCUGCAAAUCUGGUCACUUCCUUUGCGCCUUGAAGCUGUUUGAAUUUUUCCACCAAAACUCCUUCGUAAGAAUGUUACACUGAAGUGUCUGAAGAGAACCCUGAUUGUGAGAGCCGUUUGUUAUUUUCUAUGCCUCAUUCUUACCAUUGUUAUUCUAACCUUGUAGUAAAUUCUUCCCCUCCCUUGUUAAGAAUAUGCAACCUUAAAGGCACUAGAAGGUGCAGUCUACUGAUAUUUAUUACCUUGUGUUCUUAAAGGCCUACUUUGUGCUUUGUACACAGAUCUGGGAUAUUGGAAGAGUGCACAUGUAUUAUCUUCAUGACAUUUGAAUCUAGCACUACAUUUACCUACUAACAAGGAAGCAGAAAAAGAUGAAUCCUGCCCUAGAUGGAAGUCUCCAGCAACUGUACUCAUGGGGAAAUGGAAUGAAAUCAUGAAAAGAGAAAAGAAUGUGAAGAAACGCUCUGGAAUGGAGACAUGAUUAAAUGAAAUACAAUUGUAAAAAAGAAAGUAAAUUUGUCGUUGGACUGACUUCAACCAAAUAUACUGAGCUGAAAUAUGAUGCAGCGAAAUGGACUGAAGCUUGCAAAUAUUUUUGCCAUUGAAAUCCUGAAAUCCAGGAAUAUAGUUAAACAGAGAGACAGGAGAAGGAGUUGAAGAAAGAAAAUGCUAAAUAAAUAAAUAAAAGGCCUUCCUAUUAGCUUUUUCUCAGAGAAUGGGUUUGAGAUAUUGGAUCAUUCUCUGGACUCUUCGUCAUCAAUUGUGCCCUUCCUGAGCUGAGAAUGCCAACUGGGUAAGAUCUUAUUAUUAAAGACUUAAUAAUAUGGACUGGAGAAGAUGCAUUACUUGUCUGUUAGACUCCUUUUAAUGCAUACUGCAUUGUGUUUUGCAGUUGUUUUACAUCACCCUGUUGACUGUUUUCAGGUCAGAAUUCACUAGGGACUAAAUUUCAACAUCAGUUUUGCCAUUCUCUAUUUGUGCCAGUUGGUUGACUCCCACAAGCGUGUAUCACUAAUGAUUUUUAUAUUCCUCUUUUUCAGGUGAUUGUUCUAAUUCCUCUGGAGUUAAAAUCUUUUUCUCAGCUUAUUUGCAAUCUGUUCCAGCUUCACUUCUUUCAAACUCAUAAGCCCAUUACCUUUACCAUGGUCUGUAGUGAACAGAAACCACUGUGAGCUAACACACAGUUCAUCACGGCUUCGCUGUGAACCACUGGUAUUCUGCAAGUGAUUUUUUUUUCCUUUAUUUUGUACCCACCUAGCAUCAAUUUUAGCUUGACUGGUUUUCUGUAGCUUGCUUUGAAAAGCCACAAGAAAUGGCACCAGAGGCUGAGUUGUACAGCACCUACAGCACCUCCUCUGUUUGUAAGGCCUAUUACCCUGCUCUAAAGGUGUUUAGAUGUGUUUCACAAGCUUAGUUCUUGACAAAGCCAUGUUAGUUGCUGCUCCAGUCUUUUUUGUUUUCAGAAAUUUUUUUUUGUUUGCUUUUGUGUGUUCUUACCAAAGUCAGGCUUGGAUUUGUUCCAGCUAGAAUAGUACCCACUUCCCCUAAAAGAAUAAAGAAUUUAAAAAACAAAACCCCUCCAAAACAAACUCUCCCCCCACUAAUAUAUUCUAAGGAAGAUAAAGAAAGAGAAAAUCAACCUUUAAAAAGUGAGAAACAGAGCUUCAGUUCAAUCCCAUGCAUUGGAAUCUAAACUGUGGUCAAAUAUAUAUUCUUUUUCUAGAUGUUUUGAAAGUUUAUAAUUAGAAGAUGUGAAUCUGUAUUUAGAAAAAAAUAAAGAUUUUGAUUGAUAACCUGAUAACCUGGAGGUGGUUUAGCAGCUAUUAUAGUCAUCAGUAGCUGUUUCAGAAAAAAAUAUUUACUUCCCUGAAAAAUUCCUAUGAAGUAUUUGCCUAAACAUCUUUCUAAAUAAGCAUGCCUUCAUAAAUCAUGAUGCCACUGUAUGGAGGUGUAUCCACUGUUAAGCCAGAGAUGGAAGCUCACUGAUCAGUUUCUAAAAUUUAGUGCUUUCUAAAAUUUCUUUCAAAAAAAAAGAAAAGCCAAAGGAAAGCAAGGCUGGUGUUAUCCACUGGAUCCUACUGCACAGAACUCAAGGGCAGUCUCAUACACUUCUCUUAAUAGCUUUGCAAACUUUUCAUCUCCUGCUAGCAUUUUGGUUUCCACAAGUUGAAGAGAUGUCAGAAGUCAUAAGAUAGCUCAAUUUUGCCAUGACACUACAUAUUUAUAAGGAAAAAAAAUUAAUGUCCUUCAGCCACAGGGAUUUGAAAAAGAGCCCUUCAGGGUUCUGCAAGUGUAAUCUGCCGAGUGUAAAUUUCAAUGAACACUGGCAGAAAUUGCUGGGGCUUUCCAGUGGCUUCAUAUGUAUAGGCUGUGUGGAAAUGAGUGGCUGUAAGUACAUUAGAAAACUGCAGGGGAAGAAUCACAGUUGUGGUUCCUGCCUUUUGAGUAUUAUAUUAUGUAACGUUUUUUUCUGUCUUCCCACUUAUGAAUACUUCCUACAGAGGCUUUUAAAAAUUUCAGCUUAUUGGUGUUUUCUUUGUCUUCCCAAUUUUGCAUCAGAUUAUGUUGGCUUCUUUUAAGUCUUUCCUCUUUUGUUAUUUUCUUUGACUGUGUUUUUGUAAUUUUUGUUUUCUCUCUAUCUGCCAAAGAGAGUGGCUCAUUUAGAGCUAUAUUUAACAACACUUUUUACCAGCUCUGUCGUCAUUCCUGGAAAUAAGGUACCAUUUAUAUAAUCAAGUCAUGCCCUAGUCACUGCCUUCCGGUACUUGCAAGGUAAAAUGUAAAUUCUAUUUGUGAUUCAUCAGGAUAAUUAUAGCAAUUGCCAGAGUACAUGUGGGCAGGUAAGUACACACACAAGUUAGAUAAUUGGGUCAAUAGUGAACAAUUUGUCCUUAAAAGAACUUGAUUUAAUAAAGAUAGCUUUAAUCUAAAAUGAGAUGACCUUUGGUGGAGAAGUUUUCACAGAACUUAGUGUUUCAAAAACAUCUUGACUAUAUUAGAAAAAAAAAAAAAGAUAUGUAUCUUGGACAUACACAUUUAAAUGACAUUUUUUAUGAUCAAGUCAGAUAUUAAAAUACCUUCUUAACAGAAAAGUGCUAAUUAUAGCUUGAGACCCUAAUUUGGAGAUUGACAACUGGAUCUCAUAAUUCUUGUUUGGUUGGUUUUUCUUCCUUUUUAUGGACAUAGUUACCUAUAUCUAAUCUAUAUCUAUAUCUAAUCUAGAUCUAUAUCUAAAUCUAGAUAUAUCUUUGAAAUUUUUCCCUUGAUGUAAACAUACUGUCAGGGUGAAGAAUGAGGAAGAAGUGGAAAUACAUGUGUUUAUAUUCUUUUUUUCCCUCACAAAAGAAAGACCUUUUGUCUCUUUGUUCGGUAAGCAGAAUAGCAAGCCUGGCACAUUGGGGGGCUGUCACAGACUGAUGAGAGAGAGCACCCAUGGUACUCUGCUGCCUUCUGUAGUGCCCUGCCUUGGGCAGCUUGUGACUUCAUCUGUGCCCAGAGCUGUCCUUGACAGCAGUCAAAUACGCAGAGCAAGGCUGUAAUAAACAUGGCUGUGCAUUUCCAGAACAGCUUGCAGGGUUCCUUCGAGGUUUUCUCAGCAGUGUUUACUCUAACCUAAAACUGAAUCUCUAACAAUACAAGAGGAUUUUCUGGACUAUCACAAUAAAUAAAGAGCUCCACUGCUUUUUAAUUUAAGGUAAAGAUCACUUCAUCUGUACUAAGAUAUUUCCUUUUCUGUAAACAGGAAUUUUCAUUAUCUAUUGACCACCUGCAAUCCUUGCAUGAAGUUUAAAGACAAGUUUUAUUAUCUACUGAGCUGGAAUUAAAAAUCAGAAUUAUUUGUUAUACUACUGAAAUACAUGGUGCCAAUCACAAGCCUUCACUCCAUUUCCAACCUUUAAAAUGGAAACUGUGCUGACAGAACCUAUAUCACCAAACAUCCGUACUCCAAAUUGGAAUGGGACUAUUUUCAGAUCUGCUGCACUUUCUGUAUGUAACCAAAUACCAGCCCUACUUAAGAACUGGAUACCUAGACCUAUUAUUGGUUUAUUAAAUCCACUCAAGAAGUCUAUGCUAUGACCUUUUCACUUCAGGUCAUUCUUUGGAUUGCCUUCAAUAAAUACUGAAGAGUUCGUCUUAAAAGACUGUGAUCUGAGUUCACCCUUGAUGAAAAUGAGUUGGCUUUAGAGGAGUUGCAGCAGGGAACAAUCUGUUCCAGAAUGCAUUUUUACCUUAACUGUGUCAUAGGGUGAUGUAAUGCCAUGGCUGCAGAGGACAACCACUUCGUGGAGAGCAGGGAUAAAACAACAACAAAAAUUUCCUCACACCGAAAUCAACAUAACAUCAUCACAACAGCAGCAAACACAGGAUAGAUACACUCCCAGCCUCCUGGAUGUGGGUGGUGUGGAGCUGGAGGAAGAGCCCUGAUGGUGUGUGAGCAUUGCCCCACAGCAGUCAAAAUGCUGGUGUAGCACCAGCACUUCUGCAGAUGCAAAGCAUGGCACUGUGCAAGCUGCCGUGAAGAAUCGUAACUCCAACCCAGCCUUCACCACUUCUUCCUUCAAGGACUGGAAAUGACCUCUCUCUUUAGGCCAAUUUCAGUUCCUUUCCAGCUUCUCUUGGGCAACCCCAAAUUCAGCCCUGACACCUGCAUGCAAGACUCUGCUCAGUUCUGCUGAAGUGUAAUGCACACAGGAGAGGUAUAUGUAAAGCUUUCGAGAAAGAAACAAAGAAUAAAAGUCCCCUGGAGUAUGAAUGAGUACAAGUUAGAUAACUGGUGACCUGAGACAGCAUGCACAGCAUGAAAUACUUUUUUCAAUCAGUCAAUGAAUAAUGUGUGCUGUUUGAGGGAAGAUGUACUGAAUACGAUGGAAUAAAGAGUAUUUACAUAAUGCAUGGUAAUGAAUAUCUAAGGACUCUUCUCACUGCUGGAAUAUUACCCGUCCAACCUGGGCCUUUCUGGCAGGUGCCCCUGAUGCUGAAUGUGACCAGGAGCUUUUUGUAGUGAGACCAGGACUUCUGUUUCCAGAAGCAGUGUUAAACACAAUUGCAACAGAGACCCAGUUGAAAAUGAAAAGUGAAUUCACCAAACUUAAACUGAUGGCCUGGUGGGUGGUGACUUUUUUUCUGAGAGAUGGAGGAUGAGCAAGACAUGAAACCCAUCAUCACGAUUCUGGCCAGCUACCCAGACUCAACCUUGCUGAUGCAGGAAGCAAAACACCAACAGUAACUAAUCAGUCUGAGUCAGUCUUCUCUUCUGAUGGCCCUCACAGCUGAUAAACAGGAACCUUAUACCUGGGACCACCAGUUUCUUUGGCAGAGGUGGGAGGGCUCAGCUUCAAAAGCUUAUACGAGUCUUUUGCUGUCAUGGAGUACCCAAGAAAUUUACUCGUUGCUGAAAAGCACCAGGCUUGUGGAGUGGUUUCAGGAGGAGAAGUGAUUGAUGGGUUUGGACUUCUCUACCUGUCAGGAAAGAUAAGAGAUCUGUUUUCAGCUGCCUCAUCCAGAAGUUCCAAGCACAGAAGUUUCUAACACAGGCCAGCUGGCCGAUAUUGACGAUGAAGGGGUGAAGCUGAAUCUCCUGUGACAGAUUGCUUUGAAGACAACAGUUUACUUCUGUUCCCAUCAGUAGGUUUCAUUUUGACACAAGUCCUUUAGAAAACAAAUAUCCUGCUGUGUCUUUCAGGUAUUUCUGAGGAAUGGAUGCUGGUCUGUUCUCCCGUGGAAACCUGUAGAAGAAUGUUCACUAAGGUAUAAUGCAGCUAGUACCAGAAUAUUAAUUAAGGAUUGAUAUAUAAACACAAGAGAGAAAUUGUACCUAGACGAGUUUGCCCCUGACAUCUAAAUAAGCAGUUUGACAACAAAAGAUGUGGACACACAACUAAGCGCAUCUGGAAGAUAAGUGCAGGAAUUAUAAGCCUGGUGCUAUAACUGCAUUCAGUCUAUCCUACAUAUGUGCCGAAGUCCUCCCUCUUCCCUUGCUCAUGCUUUCAUAAUUCAUGGCUGUAAUUCACCUGGGGGUUGCUGGUGCUCUGUCAACGUUUAAUUGUUCUAAUUACUUAAUUAUCUGCUCUGGUGAAGUGGUAAAGCCUUGACAUUUCACAUUUUCCCUAGGAAUAUGCAUCUGUGGGAUAUAUCAGUCUCUGCAUUUGGUAAAUACAGGGAAAAAUAACUCAGUUAAUCCAGUUUUUCAGUUGCAAAGUCUACACUGUUAUUGACUACUUAUGCUGGGCUACUGAGCUCCUUGUUUUCUCAGCCUGUAAAUCUUUGUGAGAGGUUUCCUCUUUAAAAUUAAUCUACUUAGUUAUGAAUUGUCUGGUGAGAUAGGAAGGCUAAAAAGGAUAUGUCAAGUGAUAUUUUUGCAGGCUAAUCCAAUUAAAUUGGAAGUUACUUUACCCUGGUUUCCUGUGAAUGGCAAGGGAGAAGCAUGGCCUCAUCAAGCAAGAAAGUUAUCUUGUUUACUGAUACUGAUGUUCAGAGAUCGUAGUGGCAACUGCUGAGUGACACUUCAUGAAGAACUGUAAUAGAUUAUCUGAUUACAACUUUGACAUUAGAAAAAAAAAAAGACAAAAAGCAUUUUUCUGCAAUAAGUAAGCUUUUGUUUCUAUGUUGUGGAUUUUCCUUGCAGAAGAAGAAGCUUCAGUUAAGUUAAACUUUUGUGCAGUAAAUGUUUCUGUAAUAAAGAAAAAUGGAAGAGUUGAGAAUCCUGAAUGCCAUUUACUGUUAAGAGUUAUUUCUUUAAUGUAUCUUUUGUUUUUUUUUAACUUCUCUGAGAAUGGGAAAGAAAAUGUUCAAUGUUUGCGUAAAUGUUUUUUCAUAGCUGGGUGAUGCUGGUUGAUAAAUGGAAGGUACUAAAGAAAAAUGCUUUAUGAGGUAGUUAUUCCUUCAGUUUUUGAAAUAAAAUUACUCCUGGAAGGCUAGAGAAGGCUUUGUGAUAGCUUUGACUGUAGAAAUGAAAAGACAGCUAGUACAGUUCUACUAACAGCAGUUAAAUAAUGCCUGUGCUCUUAGUGUAAUGGGACAAGUACUGCCAAUUUUCUGUUUUCUUCCACUGGGUGAAAAGAAAGAGGAUAAUUUUAUUUAAUCAGGUGGAUUUAUUUGGAUGAAUGCAUGAAGGGAAUGGAGUGCAAAAAUCACUGCUUUUUGAGAAGAAGGAUCAUGUACAAGCUCUGUUCAGCUCCUUGGAGAAUUUCAACAGGUGUAACUACCAGGAUUCAUGGAAGCAAGUCAAUAAACACCUGAAGAUCAAUGUCUCUCUCUCCUUCCUCCCCUCUUUACCUCCAGACGUAAAGAGGCAGCAUGCCCAUUGUAAAAAUAAUCACACACUUUUGCCUCAUGUUAGUACCCUGUGUCAUUCAGAGAAAAGUCAUUCUUCUAUUGAUGAUCACAGGAACAAAGCUGCUUAUUGUGAGGGCUUAGUCUUAGAAGGUCUGCUGAUUGUUUGGACAAGAGAAUUCAAAUAUCAGGAGAAUAGGUAAUGCCAGAGAAGAAGCUGGAAAACAUUAUAUCUAUCAGCCUUCAUCAAUAUUGUUGUGAUUUAGGCCAAAGGAACAUGUUUUUUGAUGUCAGUAUAAUUUUCAGUCUCACUGAGCAAGUGUGCUUUCUUGAUAAAGCUUUGAGUUGGGAUUGGCAAAUGUGCACCUGAAGCUUAUCAAAGGCAUUGGGAGAUUUGCUGAAAGCCACUUAUCACCAGUCUAUGCCACAUUUUUUUGUGAGUUAUUAAGGCUUUAUGUGUUGAUAUAUGAAUUACCUUCUAAAGAUAGUAUUUACAUAUGAAAAGUCUAUAUUGAGAUGUAGAUACUGCUAUUUCUACAAUUUAUUACAUUUAAAGAAAUACCUUAAAAAAAAAGCUAAUUAUACAGUUAUAUUCCUGCUGUAAAGCUGGGAUUUGUUGAGAGACACAAAGAGGAUAAAUACAUAUUUUGCUAUUUUUACUUCUAGACUGGUGAACCUGGAAGAUCUUCUAAGUUCCCUGCUGGAUCAGGGCAAUUUUUACUGGAUGCCAGUCCUCAUUUUCUCUGUGCUUUUAUUUUUUUGUGGGGAAACGGCUUAUGUGCUUCCUUCCCAGCUUUUUCUCCUAAACUGAUUGGGAAAGGGGCUGCUGAAAUUUGCUUUCUAGAGGACACCCCUUCAGGAAGUUCCCUCCCAAAUCUGUCCCAAGCCAGAACACAUACCUAGCUGGACUCUGUGGUUUUGUGACACAGUCAAGCCAAUGAGACUCUUUGUGACUCCUGAAGGUGGUGGUCUUACCAUACUGCCCUCCUACUACCAGCCACUCUGCAAAUAUUCUGCAAAGAUUCUUGUCUGAUCCCAUAUGAAGUCAACUACAGGAAGUUAACAUCAGCACAAAACUUUUCAAGUUCUCUUGCAGUUAUUCUUUCUUCUGGUUCAUCGUGUGAAUCGGCUUAUCCUUGGAAUCCAUUUGAAACUGUAGCCCACUGAGAAAAAAAAAAUGCAGGGAAAGGCGGUGGGCUCCAUUUCUACAUUCAUUUUGUGACAAGAUAUGUGAAGGAAAAUAUAGUAAUAAUGAUAAUAAUAAUAAUAAUGAUGAUGAACUUAUUGGGUACUGUUUCAUAUUUAAAAAAAAAAAAGGAAAAUUUGUAGAAUUUUGUAUUUUUGUGUGUGUUUGUGCUUGCUCUUUGAAAUGAAACCUAUUUUAGAAUAUCUUUUUAAAUAACCUAGAAGGAAACUAGAGAUCAGAGAAUUUGUCCUUGAGAGUAUAAUAGACUAUGUACAAGUUUAGAAGAAAUUUUUUUCAACAAGCUUUGCUAAGGCACUUUUUCCUUUGACCUGCCUUAAUUCAGUCUUCUCAUUUGAAUGUCUGGAAAGGGUUUGUAAGGGUGCAGUUAUUGGUUCUUUCUGAUGCUGCGUUGCUGUAGGCGAAGUGCAUAAUACAAACACGUGUAUCUGCUUCUGAUGGAGCACUGGCACUAAUGAUAUCAACAGCAGCACUGUGUUCUUUGCAUUGUUCCCUUCUGCCAGCUGUGGAGGAGGAGGAGGAGAAGACAGUCUGUCACAGGCGGGUUUCUGCAGAAGAAGAGACUGAGGAAAAGUGUUAGGGCUUCCUACACAGCCUCAUGCGUUUUCUCACGGUGCCGACUCCCACACCGCCUGGUGUGCUCUUAUUAGGAGCUGUCUGCUCAUUUCCAGUAUCUGUCUAUUUCCUUAGAGGGCCCUGUUAAGAUGCAGGGAUCAUGCAGAAGCAAAAUUUAGUAACACUCUAAAAACAGGAUGAGUGCUAAUGUGAAGGAUCCUUCUCCCAUACUGUAUGCCAGGUAAACUCAAACUGUGGCCUAGCACUUUUUUCCAAAUAAUCAGAAACAGCUUUCCCCGAGCCCAGUAACACUAUACAUCCUGAGAGGAUCCACAGAAGUAUAUUUUUUGGAAAAAAUAUAAAAUCCUUGAUCCCUACUUAUUUUCACAGUUUAAUGAACUGCAUCUUCUCCUUUACCCCAGCUUUAAUUUGUGCUUACCUUAAAAAUAAUUCCCAGAAUUUUCUUGCCAUUUUUUGCCCUCAUGAGCUAACCAAAUAUAAGAUGUUACUUGAUAACAGGAUUAACUUUAGAAAAAAUAUUUAAAAUAUUUUGAUUUAUGGGGGAUGUGUAAAUGUUUGCCAAUGGGUAUAAUUUAUUUUCUGUUUUGUUGAGUGCAGUAAUAAUGAAUUUCACUGUUGGUUAAAAGUCCAUUUUAUGCAUCUUUAUGACACUCUUAUUUAUAAAUUGACAGGAUUCAAUUUAACAUUUUGGAUAUUUUUGUGAUUUAAGAAAUUUUCUUUUUUUUUUUUACAAGUUAUGAAAUGGUCAGCCUUCACUUGCAUGAACUCAGCAAGGCCGAUGCAGCAAAUGUGUAGAAGGAAAAUCCUGCUUUAGGGUAGCCCUUAUAUGUGCCUUCUCUCUCUGCUUUUUUCUCUCCGUGCUCUCUCGUAAAUGCUCUCAUACAUGUGUACUGGAAAUGGGUUCUCUUUUUAGAAAGAGGAAGAAAACCAAACUGAAGCCAGAAAUGAGUAGUAUGCUUUUAUACUAUUGCUUUUUACUUCCAUGAUUUAAAAUUCCACAAUGUCUGAAUUAAUACUGUGAGACCAGCUCAUGGAAGAAAAAAAGUAGUGUAUUUAUAAGAUGGGGUUUAAGAAGACACCAAAAAGACCUUAAGCAUAGUCUGCACUGGCCUUUGCAGCUAGCAGUGCUGUCACCUACGUUGUGCUAGUGAAUUUCAUAACAGGGCUGGGUUUUAUUAUGUGUGUAGUUGGGGCUCAGUGGACUAGAAGGAAAUAAUUUCAAUGAUCAGGCUCUUUUAGUUAUGAGUUUUCCUGCUUUCCUUUGACAUACCUUGUUAUUGUUGUUUUUUUGUUUUGUUUUGUUUUAAAGGACAGUAAUUUCAUUAGUUUUUAUCCAAAUGAAUCAUCUUUCCAGUUCCUUUGAGUAUGAAAGCAAAAUGUUGGAUUUUCAUUAUAGAUGCAAACAAAUCUGGGAGAAAGCAAAUACUUUGGAAUAAAGCUAAUUAUUAUGGCUUCAUCUUGCAAAUAAAAGAUGUGACUUAAACUCUUCUUUCAGUGAUGGCACAGAAGCUGCACUCUGAGCAAAUACUUAGAUUUCUGGACUUUUGGGGAAGAAGGCUCCCCUUCCUUUUGGUUUUAUGGAUAAACUAACUGAUGCCAGUUUUAAAACAGAGCUGUUGAGCCCACUCUUAUAAUCACAGAAUUCUAGAAUAGCUUUGUGUUGGAAGGGAGGGAUUUUUUUAAAAUGCAUGUGCAGAUAGCGAAUUUUGCAGUUUUUUCAUGCAAUUAUUAAUUCCUCAUGGCAGUGGCUGGGAAGCAGACACAGAGAUGUGUGUCCCUCUGGCAAGGCGGCAGCACUUCCAGGAAGAGACAGUAGUGGCUCUGAUGCUUUACCUGGAAAAGAAGAAGCAUCCAAAGAUCUCUUAGACACAUAGGAUGAAAAUUAUUUUCUCAGAUCAGACAGGAAAGCUCUGAUUUGGCUUUAUUUUAGGUACUUUGUGUGGUUUUUCUUAAGUGCUGAUAUGGUAGUUUAUCAUUUGUAGCUAGAAAUCAGUUCCUGAUGAGAAAGUAUGAAAAAUUGUUAGAAGGCAGUGUUUUUCUGGUACUUUGCUUCUGAUACGCAAUCAGACUAAUUAAAUCAAUUAAACUUUGCAGCUUCUGAUAAUGUUUAAAAGGAACUAAUUUGCUUCUCUCCUAUUUGCUUUGAAGUUAUUUCGUCACUACAGAUGACUUCAUGCAUUGGUUUCAGUUACAGAACUUAAGAUUUAGCUAAGAUCUUGAACACAUGGUGAUGAUCUUAAUGAAUAAUUACACUAUUCUACCCAGCUAUUAAAAUUAUUUGCUUGUUUUGAGAAUCAUUCGUUUCCUGUGGAAAGAAAAGCAAAGCAGAUUCUUGCUUUUUCUUUACCUUGAUUUCCUUUUCUGUUCCAUUUUAGUAGAUCACCUCUGCUAUAUUUCUUUAACUGACCCAAACGAAAGAUUGUGAUAUGGUAUUGAAAGCAAGGAGGCAGGUAUGAGAGGGAAUUAAAGAUUAUUAGCAUACAGCAAGUCACUGGAACUGAAGAUACUUUGCAACCAUUUCCUUGAUUGUCCCUUUGGGAAAGAAUCCUAUCUGUUUACCUAGCAUGUUGCAGGCUCAGACCUCUUAGGAUUUAGAGGAUAUUGAAAACAGCAAUGUGCGGAGGCCAGAUAUAUGCUAGAAGGAUAAGGAUGCCUGUGUUUUGCCAUGGGAAGUGGAAUUAUAUCUCAAUCCUGUGCACAACAAGCUAUUUAUCAUGCUCAGGAAAUAGCAGUAGGUAACAAACUUGAAGCCUUUGCGGCUAAGAGACUAUUUAUAUAUCUCAAAGUCUUUUUUCUUGUGAAGAAAGGAUUCUCACCUUCAUGGCCUGUUGCAUUGCGGUUUACUGUGGAGUGCUGCAGUGAUUUCUUAUUUUAACUUGUUGCAUUUUAUCUAAAGGUAACUGACGUAUAUUAAUUUGAUGUGUUGAAUUAUACAAUACAGGUCUGAAAUCAUAAGUUUCUCUUUCCUUUUCGCUGUUUAAGGUGAUUUCACAUGUUAUGAAAUUGCUGGUCCUUUUAGGGAAAAAACAUCUAGCCUUAUUGGGGAUCCAGAUUUUUUUUUUUUAAAGACUUCAAAAUAGGUCAGCUAAAUGGAGUGUGAAUGGAGGAUGGGGCUGAGGCUUCUGGUCAGUCAGACAUGAGGAGGAUAAUGGACUCCAUUCUGACUCUGAGUGAAGGCAUUCUGAUUUUUAAUAUCUGUGAAGAAACUCUGACCUAAGGAGACUCUACCUACCUGUCCAUUAUUGGGAUUGAAUCUUACUGUCUCCAUCCCUAGAACUGGUUAUACCUGUGCUGAUGGAGAAUCAUCUUCUAACAACUGGUAGCUCUAUCGGAAGUGAGAAGAAAGUGUGAUGGAUCCAUUUUUCUCCUAACACUUCUCUUGGCCAACCCAAGAGACAGGAAGACUUAGUAGACAAUACAAAAUACAAUUCUGGCGCGUACAUAAAAUUCCCUUUGAUUUGAUUAAUCCUUUGUUAUUCACUUCAUCACUCUUUUAAUAAUUGUUUUUUUAUAAUAGGGAUUUCAUCAAAACUCCUAAUGUUUUUCUUGAAGAUGAUUAUUUACAGUGUUACAUAAUGAUUUUGUGAACAGUUUAAAUUUCUGUGUCUGUGUGUGGGUAUGGUUUUAUGAGUCUUUUUUUGAUUUUUUUUUCUCUAUUUUUUUGAGAAAGAUCUGCUUUAAACUCCAGUAACUUCAUUCUAUCCAUAUAGCUUAACUUCUGACAACUGCGGAAAUGACAUUCCAAGAAUGAAGGGAAAAGGAAAGCUAGUUGGAUUUUGACAAGAAUGGACCAACCAAUAGCAAAAAUAAUUUACUUUCUUUUGACAUAAAUGUGUCAAUUUUUGAAAAGUAUUUGACUGCUGCCAAAGUUAGACUGAUAUUAAAAGCUUUACAUUAACCUGACUUUCAGAGAGAAUUGAAGUGAACUUGUAUUUUAGGUUUGUCCAAACAGUACUUUCUUUCUAGCUCUUAUCUUAAUGAAAGAUUUUACACUAUUUUUACAGUUGGUUGUAAUUUUUCAUUUGAAAAAUGUUUUCUGUUCAAUCUAAGAAGGUGCUUCCCUGUGUGAGUGAAUUUUUUUAACCUUUCCUUUUCCAUUUCCUUCCUUGUGAAAAUGGAUUUUUUCACAAGCAGCAAAAAAUGACUAAAUGCACAUUUUCUUGUCAAAGUUUGAUUAAUUUGCUGUAAUGAGAACAAUUUCCUUUUAGCUCUGCUUCUGAAAUCUAAGACUGAAGAAACAGAGACUUCUUAGCUUUUCAAAAUUUGGUCCAUAAAGGCAUUGGAAGAUUAAAAUCUGUGGUGUGUUUGCCAUGUUUUCUGCUUCUGCCUAAACUGCUUGGAUAGAGAAUGCUGCUGUGGACUCUCUACAGAAAUAUUUAUACAGAUUGAUAUUUCACAAUCUAAAAUCCUUCAACUGCAUAUUUCUCUAUAUUCCUUCCUGCUCUUCUGAGCUGUAAUUUCAAAUAUAAUUAUAAAGAAUGUAAAUUAGGCUCAUCAUGGGCCAAAUUAUAUUUUAUUUACUUGAACUAAUGUAAAUAUAAUGAUUUUUAAAUAGGUAGAAGGCUGCAAAAUAUUUUGAAAUGUAUCCGCAAUGUAUGGUUUAACACAGUGUCAGUACACAUACAUAAGCAAUUCUACAAUAAAUUCAGAUGUUAAAAUCCCACUAACAUUUCUAAAAUUUAUAUUGUAAUGCUGAAGACUCCUGAUUGCUUUAAGAAUGUUUAAGUUUGGUCAAGUUCCAAAAGGCGGUUCUGCCAUUUCUGCCAUUUUUCUUCUUCAAAAGGUUGCAUAGAUUUAGAUCAAGAAAUACAAUAAUCAGUUUCAUCAGAAUGGAAAGAAAUGUUGGGUUUUAGUGAGUUGACUGUGUUACUUUGCUUCAUCUUUAAACUGUGUAAGCUACAGAGAGAAGAAAACUAGAGGUGGGUCAGUGGGAACUGACCUAUUUGUCAGCACUCAGAUUGGUUUAAAAUGAUGCUGAAACUAUGGCCUUAGCCUUGAAUGCUUUUUACUGCUGUCGUGCUUUAACCCCAGCCAUUCUCCAGCAGGACCAAGGAAAGAAUCAGAAGGGUAAAAGCUGGAAAACCUCUGGGUUUAGAUAAAGACAGUUUAAUAGGGAAAGCAAAGCCACACAUACAGAGCAAAACAAGGAAUUCAUUCACUGCUUCCCAUGAGCAGGC
Molecule: long non-coding RNA, 14333 nt
Organism: Motacilla alba alba
Lineage: Eukaryota; Metazoa; Chordata; Aves; Passeriformes; Motacillidae
Exons: 24
Source: RefSeq, a predicted model, not a curated record